This 446-nucleotide ribosomal RNA is filed under the name uncultured bacterium. RNAcentral describes it as "bacterial SSU rRNA". It matches the Rfam family "Bacterial small subunit ribosomal RNA", at positions 217 to 662 of the family's 1533-position model. The record is from RNAcentral.
GGUAUGGGAUGAGCUUGCGUCCGAUUAGCUAGUUGGCGGGGCAACGGCCCACCAAGGUGACGAUCGGUAGCCGGCCUGAGAGGGUGAUCGGCCACAUUGGGACUGAGAUACGGCCCAGACUCCUACGGGAGGCAGCAGUAGGGAAUAUUGCACAAUGGGGGAAACCCUGAUGCAGCAACGCCACGUGUGGGAAGAAGCAUUUCGGUGUGUAAACCACUGUCGUGAGGGAAUAAGGCAUUUUUUCGGAGAUGUUGAAUGUACCUCGAGAGGAAGCACCGGCAAACUUCGUGCCAGCAGCCGCGGUAAUACGAGGGGGUGCAAGCGUUGUUCGGAAUCACUGGGCGUAAAGGGAGCGCAGGCGGAAGCUCAAGCGGAUUGUACAAUACCGGGGCCCAACCCCGGACCUGCAGUCCGAACUGGGUUUCUUGGAUAGUUCAGGGGCAGGC